GAGACUCUGUGCGCGUGCAUAUCAAUAAGCGGAGGAAAAGAAACUAACAAGGAUUCCCUUAGUAACGGCGAGUGAAGCGGGAAGAGCUCAAAUUUGAAAUCUUCAAGGUUCUACCUUGACGAAUUGUAGUUUAUAGAAGUGUUUUCUGUUAGUGGAGUGGCAAAAGUUCUUUGGAAUAGGACAUCAUAGAGGGUGAGAAUCCCGUAUUUGGUCAUUCCUCCUAGCGUUGUGAUACACUUUCGACGAGUCGGAUUGUUUGGGAAUGCAGUCCAAAAUGGGUGGUAAAUUUCAUCUAAAGCUAAAUAUUGGCGAGAGACCGAUAGCGAACAAGUACCGUGAGGGAAAGAUGAAAAGAACUUUGAAAAGAGAGUUAAACAGUACGUGAAAUUGUCAAAAGGGAAGCGUUUGACACCAGUGUUGUUUAGUUGAAAAUCAAUUCAAUAGUUUUUGAUUCUAAGUAGUAUUGACUUCAUCAGCUUGCUGCUUUCUUCUCAGAAAUUAUUGAAUGCACUUUUCAGUUAACAAGUCAACAUCAAUUUCUUUUGUUGUAAAAGGGUAAGAGGAAGGUGGCUUGCGCUUCGGCUCAAGUGUUUAUAGCCUUUUACCUCUGCAAUCGGAGAGACUGAGGACAGCAGCGUAGACUCCUUCGGGGGUUAGAUACACUUGUGCUAAGCUAUAGCCUUGUAUAGACAACUUGUUGACUAUGCUCAGUCAUGUAGCUUACUCGCAUGAUAGCUAUUUUACCUACGCUUAGGAUGUUGACAGCAGUAUAGACUGU
This 778-nucleotide ribosomal RNA is filed under the name uncultured Neocallimastigales. RNAcentral describes it as "partial large subunit ribosomal RNA". It matches the Rfam family "Eukaryotic large subunit ribosomal RNA", at positions 23 to 638 of the family's 3401-position model. The record is from RNAcentral. Lineage: Eukaryota; Fungi; Neocallimastigomycota; Neocallimastigomycetes; Neocallimastigales.